Molecule: ribosomal RNA, 407 nt
Filed under: bacterium enrichment culture clone ALO1_GLFRUDD03FKRFP
Lineage: Bacteria
Description: bacterial SSU rRNA
Rfam family: Bacterial small subunit ribosomal RNA
Source: RNAcentral
GAGUUUGAUCCUGGCUCAGAUUGAACGCUGGCGGCAUGCCUUACACAUGCAAGUCGAACGGCAGCACGGGAGCUUGCUCCUGGUGGCGAGUGGCGAACGGGUGAGUAAUGCAUCGGAACGUAUCCUGGAGUGGGGGAUAACGUAGCGAAAGUUACGCUAAUACCGCAUAUUCUGUGAGCAGGAAAGCGGGGGACCUUCGGGCCUCGCGCUCUUGGAGCGGCCGAUGUCGGAUUAGCUAGUUGGUGAGGUAAAGGCUCACCAAAGCGACGAUCCGUAGCAGGUCUGAGAGGAUGAUCUGCCACACUGGAACUGAGACACGGUCCAGACUCCUACGGGAGGCAGCAGUGGGGAAUUUUGGACAAUGGGGGCAACCCUGAUCCAGCCAUGCCGCGUGAGUGAAGAAGGCC